UUUUGGACAAUGGGGGAAACCCUGAUCCAGCCAUCCCGCGUGUAUGAUGAAGGCCUUCGGGUUGUAAAGUACUUUUGGCAGAGAAGAAAAGGUAGCUCCUAAUACUAGAUACUGCUGACGGUAUCUGCAGAAUAAGCACCGGCUAACUACGUGCCAGCAGCCGCGGUAAUACGAAGGGUGCAAGCGUUAAUCGGAAUUACAGGGCGUAAAGCGAGUGUAGGCGGUUCGGAAAGAAAGAUGUGAGAGACCAGGGCGCAACCUUGGAACUGCAUUUUUAACUGCCGUGCUAGAGAAUGUGAGAGAGGGGUAGAAUUCCACGUGUAGCAGUGAAAUGCGUAGAUAUGUGGAGGAAUACCGAUGGCGAAGGCAGCCCCCUGGGAUAAUACUGACGCUCAGACACGAAAGCGUGGGGAGCAAACAG
RNAcentral lists this ribosomal RNA (421 nucleotides) under uncultured bacterium. RNAcentral describes it as "partial 16S ribosomal RNA". It matches the Rfam family "Bacterial small subunit ribosomal RNA", at positions 362 to 775 of the family's 1533-position model. The record is from RNAcentral.